GCGCAUCUGGUGUAAUGGUAUCAUAGCACCCUCCCACAGUUCUAAUCAGGGUUCGAUUCUCUGGAUGCGCA
Non-coding RNA from Arabidopsis thaliana x Arabidopsis arenosa, 71 nucleotides. NCBI's taxonomy places the organism in Eukaryota, Viridiplantae, Streptophyta, Magnoliopsida, Brassicales, Brassicaceae. The record is from the annotation of a GenBank genome assembly.